Molecule: ribosomal RNA, 253 nt
Filed under: uncultured prokaryote
Description: partial 16S ribosomal RNA
Rfam family: Bacterial small subunit ribosomal RNA
Source: RNAcentral
UACGAAGGGGGCUAGCGUUGUUCGGAUUUACUGGGCGUAAAGGGCGCGUAGGCGGGCGGUCAAGUCGAGGGUGAAAGCCCCCAGCUUAACUGGGGAAGUGCCUCCGAUACUGGCCGUCUCGAGGGGGAUAGGGGCGUGCGGAACUUCCGGUGGAGCGGUGAAAUGCGUAGAUAUCGGAAGGAACAUCGGUGGCGAAAGCGGCGCGCUGGGUCCCUUCUGACGCUGAGGCGCGAAAGCCAGGGGAGCGAACGGG